AUGCUCCAGCCGGCCCACCAUGGAAGUGAACGACUCGAAGGAAAACACAGACGUGAUUUCAUCCAACUGACCGCGACUCGGACUUGGGCUGCGAUCUCCACCUCUGAGCAGGCUUCUGCGACCUCCUCUACUGCUACGUCGUGGUCCGCCUGUCGCGGUCACAACUGCUGUUCGGUGCCGGCCCUGAUGAGCGGCCGAGCCACCACCGAGUCACCUCCGACGAGCCACCCUCGGCCUCAGUCACCUGAGCCGCCAGCUAGCGGGCUCCGAACUCCUCACCGCUGCUGCCGUGGCCGAACCGGCGCUGCCUCUUUCUACCACGGCCUGCUCACCUUCGCCGCCCUUGUGGCCUUGCUUCAAGCGCCUACUGCCUCCGUGGCUGAGACGAGGAACUUUUGCCACUUUGACCUUCCCGCGCCGACGCGGGUUUUCCCCCCAAGUCGUCGUGAUGAGAGCCACAUCCUUCACCGGCCUCACCUUCACCGCCGUGCCAUUGAGCAUCUGCGCCGAGUCGCUGUGUUCGCCUCGAAUCGCCGGGUCCCGCUGGUUUGA
This 552-nucleotide ribosomal RNA is filed under the name Triticum aestivum (bread wheat). RNAcentral's name for it is "partial small subunit ribosomal RNA". Lineage: Eukaryota; Viridiplantae; Streptophyta; Magnoliopsida; Poales; Poaceae. The record is from RNAcentral.